RNAcentral lists this ribosomal RNA (253 nucleotides) under uncultured bacterium. RNAcentral describes it as "partial 16S ribosomal RNA". It matches the Rfam family "Bacterial small subunit ribosomal RNA", at positions 524 to 776 of the family's 1533-position model. The record is from RNAcentral.
UACGUAGGGUGCAAGCGUUGUCCGGAAUUAUUGGGCGUAAAGAGCUCGUAGGCGGUUUGUCGCGUCUGCUGUGAAAACUGGAGGCUCAACCUCCAGCCUGCAGUGGGUACGGGCAGACUAGAGUGCGGUAGGGGAGAUUGGAAUUCCUGGUGUAGCGGUGGAAUGCGCAGAUAUCAGGAGGAACACCAAUGGCGAAGGCAGAUCUCUGGGCCGUAACUGACGCUGAGGAGCGAAAGCGUGGGGAUCAAACAGG